GAUGUUUUGAACCAAACAACUGAGUCUGACUAGUCACAGUUUGUUCUGUGGGAGAGUGUGGGCUCCAGUUGCUGUAGUUCUUUCCUGUCUCCUCCUUAUAUCAGAGGAGGCAGAGGACGGCACAUCAGUCCAUGGGCAUGUCCCUGGCAGCAUCAGGGGCCAGGGACAGACUGCCUUACUUGCUUCAGAACUCCUCUACCAGCUUGGCUGGUCCCACUAUCUCAAGACUCAGUGCUUGAGCAGGCACUGGACUCUAGACCCCAGGCCCUUCUGGAUAGGUACCAGACUGUGAAGCUAAACUCCUGUCUCUGAAGUGAUACCACCCUGAAAUGUCACCUCCUGUUGCAGGUAUGGCUCCAGUCACUGGCUUGGAGAGAUGAAGUGUCAUGGGAUGUUUGGGGGCUUAUUUCGCUCAUUUCCACCACUGACAAUUGCAUAGUCAAAACAAAUUCUAUAAAUGAUAUAACAUAAAGAAUUAAAACAAUAUAAACAAAAGGUCUUGGACAGUAACACAGUUCAAUAUCUGAUGAAUCCAAGUACUUCCCCACAAGUUCUCACUGUACCUCUUAUAGCAGCCCCAGGAGGAAGUUUGUCUUUCUUGGUUUUAUAAAUGAGGAACCUGAGUAUAAGAGACCUUCAGAGACUUGCUCCUGAUCAGGCUUGUUACUUUAUUAGAGGUUGUGAAGUAGUAGUAGGUCAAAUCAGCCCUUUGCCUCAUUUUGUUUGUCUUUAAUAUUUUAAAAUUAUUUUACAUUGGAAUGCUUAUUAAUGGAUCAUUCAUUCUCUGACCAGACACAGCCCUUGUUACUCUCCACUGAUUCUGAAUAGAGCUGAUUUAGCUUAAUUUUAUCUGUCCAGGCCCUGAAGGCAUUUGAUUUUUGCAACCCCUGCCAAAUCUUGUCUGCUCUCCACUGUGUAACUGUGGGGUCAAUAUUAACUCCUAAGGUAGGCCCAGAAAUAAACAAGCCUCAGCCACAAACCCUCUAUGUCAGGUGCAAAGCCUAAUUCCUUCUCCCUCCUGUUCUAACAGAACCAUGCAUAAAAAAGGCCUUGAGCUGUAGAGGAGGGAGAGGAAACACCUACCUGCCAUCCUGCGCAGCCUCUGAUGUUAUUAGUGAAGGUCAGAGCUAGAUUAACCUCACCUGUCCUGCCACCUUGUUCCAGGCAGAGGAUAAAAUAAAGUGUGUGUGUAUGCUCAGUUGAACCCUCACCUCUGGUGUCUCCUGCAGUGCAGGCGGAUUCUUUAACAUUGAGCCAGCUGGAAGCCCCAAAAUAAGGUAAGUCUGUAGAAAAAGUACAUUAGCUUCCCCUCUUUAGUGGUGCUGGUCUUUCUCUAGC
Molecule: long non-coding RNA, 1338 nt
Filed under: Bos grunniens (domestic yak)
Lineage: Eukaryota; Metazoa; Chordata; Mammalia; Artiodactyla; Bovidae
Description: lncRNA (ENSBGRG00000025164.1)
Source: RNAcentral